GAUGAACGCUGACAGAAUGCUUAACACAUGCAAGUCAUUGGCGAAGCUGCGCUUGCGCAGUCUAGCCAAGGCGGACGGGUGAGUAACGCGUAAGGAACUUGCCCUGCAGACAGGGAUAACAGACGGAAACGACUGAUAACACCUGGUAUUGUCAGGCUGGCGCAUGCCGGCCUGAUGAAAGGAGACGCUGCAGGAGAGCCUUGGGUCCUAUUAGCUAGUUGGUGGGGUAACGGCCCACCAAGGCGACGAUAGGUAGCCGGCCUGAGAGGGUGAACGGCCACAAGGGGACUGGGAGACGGCCCUUACUCUUACGGGAGGCAGCAGUGGGGAAUAUUGGACAAUGGGGGCAACACUGAUCCAGCAAUUCUGUGUGCACGAAGAAGGUUUUCGGAUUGUAAAGUGCUUUCAGCAGGGAAGAAGAAAGUGACGGUACCUGCAGAAGAAGCGACGGCUAAAUACGUG
This 462-nucleotide ribosomal RNA is filed under the name uncultured bacterium. RNAcentral describes it as "partial 16S ribosomal RNA". It matches the Rfam family "Bacterial small subunit ribosomal RNA", at positions 28 to 507 of the family's 1533-position model. The record is from RNAcentral.